UACGUAGGUGGCAAGCGUUGUCCGGAUUUAUUGGGUUUAAAGGGUGCGUAGGCGGCCCUGUAAGUCAGUGCUGAAAUAUCCCGGCUUAACCGGGAGGGUGGCAUUGAUACUGCAGGGCUUGAGUACAGAUGAAGUAGGCGGAAUUGACGGUGUAGCGGUGAAAUGCAUAGAUAUUGUCAAGAACACCGAUAGCGAAGGCAGCUUACUAAGCUGUAACUGACGCUGAGGCACGAAAGUGUGGGGAUCAAACAGG
RNAcentral lists this ribosomal RNA (253 nucleotides) under uncultured bacterium. Its description in RNAcentral is "partial 16S ribosomal RNA". It matches the Rfam family "Bacterial small subunit ribosomal RNA", at positions 524 to 776 of the family's 1533-position model. The record is from RNAcentral.